RNA transcript from Dipodomys ordii (Ord's kangaroo rat), 892 nucleotides. It is a transcript of the gene named ubiquitin-conjugating enzyme E2L 6, with no coding region annotated. NCBI's taxonomy places the organism in Eukaryota, Metazoa, Chordata, Mammalia, Rodentia, Heteromyidae. The transcript is spliced from 5 exons. The record is from RefSeq and is a predicted model, not a curated record.
UGGCCUGGAGUGCCGUAGUGCCGGGUGGUCGCUGGUGCCCGGUCCUCCGUCCGUGAUGACGUCCAGCAAGCGAGUGGCGAAGGAGCUGGAGGAUCUUCAGGAGGCGCUUCCCCCGUAUCUCCGACACCUGUCCUGCGAUGAUGCCAAUGUCCUGGUGUGGCAUGCGCUCCUCUUGCCCGACCAACCUCCCUACCACCUCAGGGCCUUCCGUCUGCGCAUCGACUUCCCCAGGGAGUAUCCGCUGAAGCCCCCCACCAUCAAGUUCACCACCAAGAUCUACCACCCCAACGUGGACGAGAAUGGGCAGGUUUGCCUGCCCCUCAUCAGCACUGUGAACUGGAAGCCUCACACCAAGAUCUGCCAAGUCUUGGAGACCCUCAACGUGCUGGUGAACAAUCCAGACCUGAGGGAGCCUGUGAGGAUAGAACUCGCUGACCUGCUGGCUCAGAGCCCUGAGGUGUUCAAGAGGAAGGCUGAGGAGUUCACCCUCCAAUUCGGAGAGAGCCGGCCCUCCUGAUUCUGGUGCUGAGCCGCUCUGUCCUGCCUCCUCUGCCUGGUGGAUGGUAUGAUGUUCUGUGAGGACUGGGGGUCCAGAGACAGAAGAGGGGGAUGUGGGCAGGAUGCAGGACACAUGGAAAUCACCGUAAUUCCCAGGCGGGCACAGAUUCAGGAUCUAAACCUUUUCUUUUUCACAUGGAUCACAAGACAAUUCUGACUCCAGUCCUGGCGACUUGCUGUGCCCUCUGGCUUCUGGUCCAGGGGGGUGAGGGUUUCAUGCACUUGCCUGUUCUUGAAAGCCAGAGAUGAAUUCUGGACAUCGGCGGAGUCUUUGUUGAUGAUGGGCUGGGAAUUCCACAGCCAGCUAACAAAACGUGUGAUCUUGACUCUCAGU